This is a long non-coding RNA of Portunus trituberculatus (swimming crab), 285 nucleotides long. RefSeq lists it as uncharacterized. The record is from RefSeq and is a predicted model, not a curated record. Lineage: Eukaryota; Metazoa; Arthropoda; Malacostraca; Decapoda; Portunidae. The transcript has 2 exons.
CUCUCUCUCUCUCUCUGCACACACAGUUCCCUCUCUUCCUUCUUACGGGGCGCGCGUGUGUCUAUGUGCGUGUGCGUGUGCCCGCGCGUGUGUGCGUGUGUGUGUACGUAAGACAGACAAACACGCACAUGAGACGAAACUGUGUGUACGUUUCCAAAAAUCGAGAGAAAAAGUGAGAAAGUGAGCAAAUUAGAGAAAGUGAGCGAAUUAAAGAUAGAGAUAGAGUUUUCUUAAGGAUUGAAGUGGAAAAGAACCAGAAAAUAGAAAUAAAUAAAUAAAUAAAAA